CGUCAGAUAGCUGAGUGGUCUAGAGCAGUCGCACAGCAAAGAGAAGACCCGAGUUCGAUUCCCGGUCUAGCGA
This 73-nucleotide transfer RNA is filed under the name Harpegnathos saltator (Jerdon's jumping ant). It matches the Rfam family "tRNA". From Rfam's summary of the family: Transfer RNA (tRNA) molecules are approximately 80 nucleotides in length. Their secondary structure includes four short double-helical elements and three loops (D, anti-codon, and T loops). Further hydrogen bonds mediate the characteristic L-shaped molecular structure. tRNAs have two regions of fundamental functional importance: the anti-codon, which is responsible for specific mRNA codon recognition, and the 3' end, to which the tRNAs corresponding amino acid is attached (by aminoacyl-tRNA synthetases). tRNAs cope with the degeneracy of the genetic code in two manners: having more than one tRNA (with a specific anti-codon) for a particular amino acid; and 'wobble' base-pairing, i.e. permitting non-standard base-pairing at the 3rd anti-codon position. Lineage: Eukaryota; Metazoa; Arthropoda; Insecta; Hymenoptera; Formicidae. The record is from Rfam by way of RNAcentral.